RNAcentral lists this ribosomal RNA (912 nucleotides) under Boeremia exigua var. exigua. RNAcentral's name for it is "LSU rRNA". It matches the Rfam family "Eukaryotic large subunit ribosomal RNA", at positions 38 to 965 of the family's 3401-position model. Lineage: Eukaryota; Fungi; Ascomycota; Dothideomycetes; Pleosporales; Didymellaceae. The record is from RNAcentral.
GCAUAUCAAUAAGCGGAGGAAAAGAAACCAACAGGGAUUGCCCUAGUAACGGCGAGUGAAGCGGCAACAGCUCAAAUUUGAAAUCUGGCGUCUUUGGCGUCCGAGUUGUAAUUUGCAGAGGGCGCUUUGGCAUUGGCAGCGGUCCAAGUUCCUUGGAACAGGACGUCACAGAGGGUGAGAAUCCCGUACGUGGUCGCUAGCCUUUACCGUGUAAAGCCCCUUCGACGAGUCGAGUUGUUUGGGAAUGCAGCUCUAAAUGGGAGGUAAAUUUCUUCUAAAGCUAAAUACUGGCCAGAGACCGAUAGCGCACAAGUAGAGUGAUCGAAAGAUGAAAAGCACUUUGGAAAGAGAGUUAAAAAGCACGUGAAAUUGUUGAAAGGGAAGCGCUUGCAGCCAGACUUGCCUGUAGUUGCUCAUCCGGGUUUUUACCCGGUGCACUCUUCUAUAGGCAGGCCAGCAUCAGUUUGGGCGGUUGGAUAAAGGUCUCUGUCACGUACCUCCUCUCGGGGAGAACUUAUAGGGGAGACGUAAUGCAACCAGCCUGGACUGAGGUCCGCGCAUCUGCUAGGAUGCUGGCGUAAUGGCUGUAAGCGGCCCGUCUUGAAACACGGACCAAGGAGUCUAACAUCUAUGCGAGUGUUUGGGUGUCAAGCCCGAGCGCGUAAUGAAAGUGAACGGAGGUGGGAACCUUUCGGGGUGCACCAUCGACCGAUCCUGAUGUCUUCGGAUGGAUUUGAGUAAGAGCAUAGCUGUUGGGACCCGAAAGAUGGUGAACUAUGCUUGAAUAGGGUGAAGCCAGAGGAAACUCAUGGUGGAGGCUCGCGAGCGGUUCUGACGUGCAAAUCGAUCGUCAAAUUUGGGCAUAGGGGCGAAAGACUAAUCGAACUAUCUAGUAGCUGGGUUCCUGCCGAG